This 253-nucleotide ribosomal RNA is filed under the name uncultured bacterium. Its description in RNAcentral is "partial 16S ribosomal RNA". It matches the Rfam family "Bacterial small subunit ribosomal RNA", at positions 524 to 776 of the family's 1533-position model. The record is from RNAcentral.
UACGUAGGGACCAAGCGUUGUUCGGAUUUACUGGGCGUAAAGGGCGCGUAGGCGGCGUGGUAAGUCACUUGUGAAAUCUCUGAGCUUAACUCAGAACGGCCAAGUGAUACUGCUGUGCUAGAGUGCAGAAGGGGCAAUCGGAAUUCUUGGUGUAGCGGUGAAAUGCGUAAAUAUCAAGAGGAACACCUGAGGUGAAGACGGGUUGCUGGGCUGACACUGACGCUGAUGCGCGAAAGCCAGGGGAGCAAACGGG